CAACCUUAUGCAAAAACCACCUGUAAAUCAGUUAUGAGACAAGAAGGAGUUUGGAGCAAGGAUCUUCACUUCUUCUUGAACCAGUCGGUCAGCAUGUCCACUGGACCGGCCUGAUUCAAGGCGAACUGCUUGUGUUAGCUUUAGAGAACUGAGACAGGUAUGUCCCAGCCUCUGUUAGCCUGUGCCCUCUGCUGAAGGAGAGGCCCUGAGAAUCCUAAAAGGCAGCCUUCCAGUGAUGCCCAGAGCUGGUGGGAGACCAGACCUGAAGAGGACAGAGCUGCCGACCCUCCAGUGAAGCCCAGCCUCCGGUCUCUAAUCUGGGAAAGAAAGGACCUGUGAGUGGACCCCGCUGACCUCCCCGCACCCACACAACCUAGGUCAGCGUGAUGAUGCUCGGCGUUCCGUGUACCUGUCGCGCAGGUGGCCGCAGCGCAGCCCCAUGUCGGUGCACUCCGCCUCGCUCACCGACACCCCCUUGCAGGACUUGAUCGGGUAGAUCCAGAGCUGUGCCACCGUUCCCACCUGCUGCAGCCGCCCGCGCCGCCGGGGACGCACGCGACGCCAGGCCACCGUCCCCAGCGCCACUGCGGCCAGUCCCAGCGCGGCGACACCGAACCAGGUGGACCGCGGAUGCCCGGGGACCCGGGACGCGGAGAAGCCGAGGAGGGCCAGCGCCCAGGAGCCGGCUUCCAUGGCUGGAGCGGGCGGGACGAGCGCUGAUCCACCUCCGGCGCCGGCCGGACCACGAGCUACUGUGACCCGAGGCCUGGACCUGGGCCUGAGCCCAAAGGCCAGCAGCUCCUGACCCUUCCCCUCCAAUCCAAGUUGAGCAUCUUCACUCGGCCUGGGCGGGAGGUGGUGGCUCAGCUGUCACGAUUCUCACCCUUUGUCCCUACUUUUCCCCGCUGCCUUCCCCUCCUUCGUUCCCCCCUCCCUAGCUGACCAUCAGUGCAGAACUGCUUAUUUACAAGUUUGCGUUGUUUAUUUGGCCUAAAACACACAACGUUUGCAGAAUGCGGCGUGGUUUUGAAAUUGGAAACCAGGCUGCGGGCAGCCGCCCGUCUGGGGACUGUGGAGAGUAGUUUGGCAGCAGCCAGGGAGCUUCUAGCCAGCAGCAAUCUGAAGUGAAAAGAUCUGACCGGGCUCCGAGGAUCUCCAGGGCCAAUCCUGGGCUGCUGCUAUCCGCAGAGGCUCAGACCUGGACUAGUAUUUUAGACAAGCCCCCACCCACCCACUCACUCCUCUCUCCCCUGCGCCCUAAUGUGGACUGGCACUGCCAGGGGUCUCUUCCAAAUGCUACAACAUCUUGAACACAAAGACAAGCCAACAAAGUGCCUUGGGUGCCUGUUUGAUGUGUCAACCUGUAAAAAUGACGGUCUUUAUUCUAACGAGGAGAACGGCAUUUCUCUCCUAAGAUAAGGAAGAGAGAUUGGACUUUGUACUACAACGUGAGCUGGGAAGGGGCAGAGGGGGGAGGGGUGAACACGGCUGCACCAGCCAAGGCAGAAAUAAAGAUUUCUCUGAAGA
Mastomys coucha (southern multimammate mouse) is the source of this 1527-nucleotide long non-coding RNA. RefSeq lists it as uncharacterized. The transcript is spliced from 2 exons. Lineage: Eukaryota; Metazoa; Chordata; Mammalia; Rodentia; Muridae. The record is from RefSeq and is a predicted model, not a curated record.